Molecule: small nuclear RNA, 282 nt
Filed under: Neotoma lepida (desert woodrat)
Lineage: Eukaryota; Metazoa; Chordata; Mammalia; Rodentia; Cricetidae
Description: 7SK RNA
Rfam family: 7SK RNA
About the family: 7SK was discovered as an abundant small nuclear RNA in the mid-70s but a possible function has only recently been suggested. Two independent studies have found that 7SK RNA binds the CDK9/cyclin T complex (known as elongation factor P-TEFb).
Source: Rfam by way of RNAcentral
UAAUGUGAAGGUGAUCUGGCUGUGACAUCUGUCACCCCAUUGAUCACUGGAGAGGCAUAUGUGCCCAUCCUCCCUCCUCCCUCACCAUUCUGUGCAUGUCCCUCCUGAAGCUGUGCCCUUGGUAGGAGAGGAUGACCUUCCCUGAUAGAAAAGGACUCUUCCUCUGCGCAGGGUAUAUGAUCUUAAACCCUCCCUUCUAGAAUCUCCAAGCAAGCUCUCAGUACAGGAACACUGAAGGCAAUGUGAAGGUAUGGGAGAGCUGCAUGGGUGCUUGGCACUCAU